RNAcentral lists this long non-coding RNA (269 nucleotides) under Gossypium barbadense (sea-island cotton). RNAcentral's name for it is "long non-coding RNA (GBAR_LNC011517)". The record is from RNAcentral. Lineage: Eukaryota; Viridiplantae; Streptophyta; Magnoliopsida; Malvales; Malvaceae.
UCCAUUCCUAGUAUUAAAUCGAAUUCUCCAAAAGGCAUCAAAUUCGCCAAAAAGAUAACUCCUUGAACCUCCUAUCUCUGAGUAGUCUAUUUACCCUGAACGACUACCCCAAAGGACUCAGUACAGUAACCUCACUCGCAGUACUCUCAACCAAGAUACCCAAAGUCUCAAACACAGUACAAGCUAUAUAGGAGAGAGUAGAUUAUAUAUCUAUCAGUGCAGUAUAAUGUACAUUAUAGAUAAAGAACAUACCUAUGAUAACAUCCGGA